CAGCAGCCGCGGGAAUACGAAGGGGGCUAGCGUUGUUCGGAUUUACUGGGCGUAAAGCGCACGUAGGCGGAUCGAUCAGUCAGGGGUGAAAUCCCAGAGCUCAACUCUGGAACUGCCUUUGAUACUGUCGAUCUGGAGUAUGGAAGAGGUGAGUGGAAUUCCGAGUGUAGAGGUGAAAUUCGUAGAUAUUCGGAGGAACACCAGUGGCGAAGGCGGCCCACUGGUCCAUUACUGACGCUGAGGUGCGAAAGCGUGGGGAGCAAACAGGAUUAGAUACCCCAGUAGUCCCUGUCUCUUAUAC
RNAcentral lists this ribosomal RNA (301 nucleotides) under uncultured bacterium. RNAcentral's name for it is "partial 16S ribosomal RNA". It matches the Rfam family "Bacterial small subunit ribosomal RNA", at positions 509 to 807 of the family's 1533-position model. The record is from RNAcentral.